This 484-nucleotide ribosomal RNA is filed under the name uncultured bacterium. RNAcentral's name for it is "partial 16S ribosomal RNA". It matches the Rfam family "Bacterial small subunit ribosomal RNA", at positions 28 to 507 of the family's 1533-position model. The record is from RNAcentral.
AUUGAACGCUGGCGGCAUGCUUUACACAUGCAAGUCGAACGGCAGCGCGGGCUUCGGCCUGGCGGCGAGUGGCGAACGGGUGAGUAAUGCAUCGGAACGUGCCCAGUAGUGGGGGAUAGCCCGGCGAAAGCCGGAUUAAUACCGCAUACGACCUGAGGGUGAAAGCGGGGGACCGAAAGGCCUCGCGCUAUUUGAGCGGCCGAUGUGGGAGUAGCUAGUUGGUGGGGUAAAGGCUUACCAAGGCGACGAUCGGUAGCUGGUCUGAGAGGACGACCGGCCACACUGGGACUGAGACACGGCCCAGACUCCUACGGGAGGCAGCAGUGGGGAAUUUUGGACAAUGGGGGCAACCCUGAUCCAGCCAUGCCGCGUGCGGGAAGAAGGCCUUCGGGUUGUAAACCGCUUUUGUUCGGGAAGAAAUCCUCUGGGCUAAUACCCCGGGGGGAUGACGGUACCGGAAGAAUAAGCACCGGCUAACUACGUG